AUGUGUCAAUCUUGUCAAAUGAAUACAGAAAGAUAUCAAUAUCAAUACUGAAAUGAAAACUGAAAAUACUGAUAUGAAGUAUCUCAUAAAGUCAUAAAGUAAACUUUUUAUAACUUUUUGAUUUAUUUUUAGCGUUUCCAAUUAUUGAGUUAUAUUACUCUCUAGUUCUUUUGUCGAUGAGAGCCCCAAUUACUAUCUAGGUAAAUAAUUACAAACCAUGGAGUUGUCUCACAGUUUGACGUUGAAUGAAGAAGCUUUAUCUCAAAUAAGUGAGGCAAAGAGGCCAGUAUUCAUAUUUGAAUGGCUCAGAUUUUUAGAUAAAGUACUCAUAGCUGCCCAAAAAAAUGACAUCAAAGGUUGCCAAAAACAGUUGGUUCAGCAAUUAAUGAAUCAUAUCCAAGAAUCUCCAGGCCCUCCAACUCGAAAACUCAUAUCUAGAUGCCUCGCAACAUUAUUUUCAGUUGGUGACACUUUCCUGCUUUUUGAUACAGUGAAUAAAUGUAAUGAUAUCUUGAAAAAUAAGGAUGAUUCACCAAGCUUCCUACCAACAAGACUUGCUGCAAUAUGCUGUGUUGGUACCAUGUAUGAGAAGUUGGGAAGGAUGAUGGGAAGAUCAUAUGAGGAAACGGUUCACAUCCUAAUACGUUCCCUGAGAAAUGCAGAAUCUCAAACGAGAAUUGAAAUCAUGCUAACACUAGAAAAAGUAUGUGCAGGAAUGGGUAACGCUAUUUCGAAUGUUCACAAAGACAUAUACAAAGCUGCAAGGCAUUGCCUGAUUGAUAGAGUUAUGGCUGUGAGAUGUGCCGCAACAAGAUGUCUUCUAGAAAUGCUCAAUCAUGCACCAUUUUUGUACACAACAGAAUUGGAGAGCUUGGCUACCCUUUGCUUCCGAGCUUUCGAUGGUUCAAAUUACGUAGUUCGCUGCACUGUUGCUAAACUGUUAGGAACACUGAUCGCAAUGACGCAGCAACAAAAUCAGGGUAAUAGUAAAAUCGUUCAGCAACAACAACAACACAAAGGCCCAAAAUUGGUAUCCCUUGAUGAGGCAUUAGGGGUGUUUAUGUCCGGAUUUUUGAGAGGCGGUGUUGGAUUUUUGAAAGGAACUGGCGAAAUAAUAAAGGGUAGUUCAGGAGUAAACCGUGAAGUCAGAGUUGGGGUAACACAUGGAUACGUUAUAUUUGUCCAAAUAUUGGGCAGUAAAUGGUUGGAGAAAAACAUGAAAACUUUCCUCAGUCAUAUUCUGUACUUGGCUGCAAAUCCAAAGGCGGCAUCUUCCCAUGUAGACGCUGUAUAUUCAAGGAAAUGUAUCAAUUUCAUAUUGAGAAGCGUACUCGGAAAAAUGUUAGGAGAGAAAGCUCAAACUUCAGCAUGCAAAGAAAUUGCACAGAUAGUAGUGAAAGAAAUGAAUUCCAUUGACUUUAAUCCAGAAAAUGCCAAGGACGCCAAUCAAGAAACACUUUUCAGCCAACAUUUGCUCGUUUGCGCACUUCAAGAAAUCGGGUCGCUGGUUUUGAGUUUAGGAACAACAGCUCAUGACUUGAUUACAGACCAGUCUCUAAAUCUGAUAGAUGUAACAAUGAGCGUGUUGAUUCAUCCCUGCCAAGCGGCUAGACUAGCGGCAGCUUGGUGCUUACGUUGCAUAUGUAUAGCAGUGCCUAGUCAAAUUUCUCCUCUUAUCGAUCGAUGUGUGAAUGGAAUAGAACAGUUCAGAACCUCUCCAGAAGCCAUAUCUGGUUACAGUUCUGCACUGGCUGCUGUUCUAGGAGGCGUGAAGUUAUCCCCUCUCGGUGUUCCUCACAUGAAGGGAAAAAUAAUAUUUAACACUGCCGAAGAACUUCUGAGGAGUGCCAGUCAGAACAGCAGAUUGUCUUUGAACAGGACACAUGCUGGGUGGUUGCUUAUAGGAGCUAUAAUGACUCUGGGUAUUCCAGUGGUGAAGGGUUUAUUACCCAGAAUGUUGUUACUCUGGAGGAAUUCCUUUCCUAGAUCGGCGAAGGAGUUGGAGUCUGAAAAAGCACGUGGUGAUGUGUUCACAUGGCAAGUUACUCUCGAAGGAAGAGCUGGAGCUCUAUCAGCCAUGCAUAGCUUUCUGCAAAAUUGUUCGGAACUUGUGAAUGAAGAUACCACUAGAAGAUUGCUCACUCCAAUUGAAUCGGCCCUGGCCAUGCUAACUAAUAUAUCUGGGAUCCUCAAAACUUAUGGUCAACACCUGAAGGCUCCUGCAGCGAUGGUACGUCUAAGACUAUGUGAAACGCUUUUGCUUCUCCAUCCACAGUGUUAUGAAAAUUCCUACACCCAUUUGCUAAGAAUGUUGGUCGCUGAAUUCACUUUGACAGAGAAUCCAGCAAAUACUACCACUUCUCAACUUCGCACUGUAUGCCAUGCUGAUGAUUCUGUUAUUUUAGGAACUUGGCUUCAAGAAACUGAUCAAAGAACUAUUGAAGAUCAGAUGGAGCCUAAUCGAAGAGGGGAUGGUGAACAUCUUCAACCUAAUAGUGCUGCAGGUUCUGGAGCUUUGGAACACGACCCAUGUUGUCUUUAUCGACAAGUCAAUCAGCAUGAAACAAUACCAGGUCCUCUUCCAUUAGGAGUAACGGUCAUCGAUAUCUCCGUACUUCUGUUUGGCCAGAUCUUCCCUAGAGUUACGAACAAGCACCGUGUACAAAUGCUCGACCACUUUGCUGAAUGUAUAAAACAUGUACGUAGUACCAGGCAAGAGGCGGUUCAAAUUAACGUAUUCACUGCUCUGCUGAGCGGUUUGAAAGGACUGACUGAGACAAAAGUGAACUUGAAUCAAGAAGAUGUGAAGAAAUCAGCCGUUAGCCUAAUUAUAGCAGCGCUUACUUCUCCCAAUCCAAUCCUGCGGUAUGCUGCAGGAGAGGCCGUGGGCCGAAUAGCCCAGGUUGUUUCUGAUCCGAAAUUCACUGCUGAACUGGCACAGACAAGCUUCGACAGACUGAAAUCAGCCAGGGAUGUGGCAAGCAGAACUGGCCACUCAUUGGCUCUGGGCUGUUUACACAAGUAUGUAGGUGGGAUGGGAUCCAGUCAGCAUUUGAAUACAAGCGUGUCCAUAUUGUUAGCUCUUGCGCAAGAUCAGACUUCACCGAUCGUUCAAGUUUGGUCAUUGCAUGCCCUAUCGUUGAUAGUAGAUUCCGGCGGUCCUAUGUUUAGAGGUUACGUGGAACCCAGCCUGUCACUAGCUCUCAAGCUCCUUUUGAAUGUUCCACAGUCGUACAUGGAUGUUCACCAGUGUAUUGGAAAAGUUUUAUCAGCUCUUAUCACGACUAUAGGGCCGGAACUGCAGGGAAAUACCUCUACUAUAUGUACUGCCAGGUCUUCAUUUUUGUGUGCUUGUGCUAUCAUGCAAGACCAUCACGAUCCGUUAGUUCAAGCUGAGGCAACUGGGUGUUUGCAGCAACUUCAUCUGUUCGCACCGAAGCACGUCAAUCUGUCUUCACUUGUACCAACACUUUGUAGAACAUUGUCCAGUAAUCAUCUUCUGCUUAGGAAAGCAGCCAUAUCUUGUUUACGACAGUUAGUACAAAGAGAGGCUAAAGAAGUUUGUGAGCAUGCAAUGAACUUGGCAAGCGAAAGUCGCGAGCACAACAAUGUAGAAGGUUUAACAAUAACAGAAACCGGAUUGCCAGGUGUCUUCUUCAGUAUGCUGGACACUGAAACUGAUACGGGCCUGAUAAAAGAUAUUCACGAUACUAUUAUCAGCAUGCUGCAAGUGCUUGCUGCUGAUAACUUGUCGCAGUGGUUGGGAUUGUGCAAAGACGUUCUAACGGUCGCUACAGAAACAAGUGCUGAAGAUCGUUCGGGAGGAGCAGGCCAUGAAGGUGAAGAAGUUAAUGGUGAAACAGAUGACGAUCAAGCUGAGUUUCAUGCAGAAGAAGACUCUUCCCACCCUGCUGUUCAACCAAGAUGGCCUACAAGGGUGUUUGCAGCAGAAUGUGUUAGAAAAAUUAUAUCAGCUUGUGAAACUAAUAAUAAAGUGGCUCACUUUGAUUUGAUUCGAGCAAAGGAACUGCAGAUGACGAAGGGAAAAAGCGACUUUUUGACUCUGCAUUUGUCUGACCUGAUCAGAAUGGCAUUCAUAGCAGCGACAAGUGAUUCGGAUCCGUUGAGAUUGGAAGGGUUGAAAACCCUUCAAGAUAUAAUUGAAAAAUUUGCCAAAGUUCCUGAACCAGAGUUUCCGGGACACCUGCUUCUUGAACAGUUUCAGGCUCAAGUUGGGGCUGCCUUGAGGCCAGCUUUUUCACCAGACACUUCUUCGUUGGUUACAGCUGCUGCUUGUGAAGUUUGUUCCACUUGGAUUGGGUCUAAUGUGGCCAGAGAUCUCAAUGACUUGAGACGGGUACAUCAAUUGCUUGUGUCUUCUUUGACUAAACUCAGAAAUAAAAAUAACAUCAGCCAACUGUACAAUGAAAGCUUAGUGACAUUGGAGAAACUGUCGAUUUUGAAGGCUUGGGCGGAAGUAUAUAUUGUUGCUAUGAAAGGAAAUGAUACUUCUCAGAGCGUAGAUUUGACGACUACUGCCAGUGACAUUGAUAACAAUGAAUUUACGGAGUUUGAAUGCCGAGGAGAGAGUUUGUUGACUCUAGUACAGCCGGAAUUGGUGUCUUUGUCUCAGUAUUGGCAAUUGGCAUUGAAAGAUCACGCCUUGCUGUCAUUACCUGGGGAAUUCUCCAGUCAAUUACCACAUGACGGAGGAGCAUUCUACACAAAUGAAACAAUUGACUCCUCAAGACCCCAUUAUGCUUCGUCUUGGCCUCCAAUUCUUUAUGCUGCCGCCCUUUGGUUGAAGUCAGGAAGUUUCGAAAGGAACACUGAUAAUGACAACAAUGAAAUCAUCAACAAUAAUAGGACUAAUGACAAUCCUUCUGACAGGUUCCAUCUUCUCUUUGGUAUUUGUAUGGAAGCACUUUGUAGUCCACGUUCUACCGAACCGUUAGAGAGUGUUAUCACGUGCCUCAACGCUUUAUACACAUUGCUUGACACGUCAUAUACACGGGGAGUUCUGAUGUCUGAUAGUUCACUAGGAAUUGAAAUGUGCAACGUUCUCCAUCGGCUCAUACUGACUAGGGAUAACCACACUUGUCAGCUGUUAUGUCUGGAGGUAUUGAAACAAAUGGUAAAAGCUGCCCAGGAGCAUCUUGACAAACAGAAGGAAAAUAAAUUGAACGAAGGCGAAAGUGCAACUUUGGUCGAUACGUUGGGUGAAGGUGGAGAAAUUGGCGAACUAAUUCCUGGGAAGUCUCUCGUCAUUUCCAUUUUGGAAGUGUGCCUUUGCCUUAUAAUACGUCAAUUGCCAACAUUGAGUCCCUUGCCAAAUACGACGAUUGUCAAUUCCUUGCGAGUAAUGCAAUCUAGCCAGCAAUCAAGUCAGUUACUAGCAGCUUCCAUAACCUGCAUGGAAGCCCUGCACAGGUUGUGUUCUCCAAAAGGUGCAGUUUCAAUCUUGCCAACUAUUUUAUAUUUAACUACAGGAGUGAUCAGAGAAGUGACCACAAAAAAUAUCAACGAUGUCAAUGUUUUGGCGAAUAAUCCGUCAGUGCAGGCAGCUUUACACUGCUUGAAAGUUCUUGCUACGGAUCGAUACUGUAGACAUCCAGAUAGCUGUGAUAAUUGGCAAAAGUUAUUACAGAGUUCUCUUGCCAAAAUAAUCGAUCUUGCCAAAACUCGAAAUGACGAAAGCAAAUUAGACGAGGUCACUAUGAUGCUGGCCAUUGCCGUUUUUGUUUUGAACGCACCUGCUGAAGUUGUCAUUGUUCCUAACCUACAGUAUCCUUGCAUCAAUCAUUUCAGGCAGUGCUUGGAGAAUUCAAAUUCAUUGGUACGCCUGAAAUGUGUUAGGACUCUGAAAUCCCUGUUUGCGCAUCCAGACCGUUCUAUUUCUACUCCUUAUAUCCACACGUUAGCUCCUCAGCUUGUGGAGUUUUUGUAUUCAGAUGCAGCCAAAAAACCCUUCUCAGACGGAGAACUUUUAGUUACCGUGGAAACAAUUACGGCAGUAGAAUCCCUCAUAGAACUUGCUGAACCUGACAAAUGUAUACAAAUGCUUACAUUAUUGGUGCCAGUUUUGGUGAGCUACUUGUCGACAGAUCCACAUUCUCCAUAUGCCAAUAAGUAUGUACAAGCGUUACAUGAAGUUAGUUUACAAUGGCUGAUGAAAAUAGGGCCUAAAUAUCCACAGGAAUUCAAGAGGCUGAUGAUGCAGUCCGAUGUACUAAGAGUGAAAUUAGAAAAUGCAAUAAGAAGUAGCCAAGUUAAUCAAUGCAAAAUCAAGAAUGAUGUUAAUAUAAAUCAACAGUUACCUAGUCAUACCCCAACAAUUAAGUUGAAAACCGAUUUCAGUAAUUUUUCCUAAGACUAGAUAUUUUAGUGUCUUAUAUGUAUAGAAAGUCAAUAACUUAUUAGCCUAGAUCGUAAAUUAGACUAUUAUUUCUCUAGAAACUUGACAUUUCAAUCGAAAAGUUAUUAUUUUUUCCGACUGAUAUUAUGAAAAUUAUUGUAAUUUUAUACUAAGACAGCAAAAGAUAUAUUGCUUGGCUUCUUAAUGGGACCUAUAAAUUAUUCGAAAGAGAAAUACCAUAUUUCAAAUACUAUUUGAAGUGUGAACAAUGCGGCGUAGAUUAAUCAUUUUUAUUUCCUAUUCUCUGAUGAAAUUUCAUGAACACACCUUCCACUAUAUGGAUUCUCCAAUCAGAAAAAAAAGAAAAAUUCACUUGUCCCUAGCACAGGUAUAAAUAAGGCAAUGGGCAUUUAAUUUGAAAUUUAAACGAUCAGUACAGAAUAUUAUAUAUGUUAUUUAAAUGAAAUAAAAUAAUGAAACUCAUUUUAAAAUUUAAUAUAAAGAAAUCGUCGAUGUCAGGGGUUGGUGAAAUUUCAAUAUUGAAUAAAAAAAGUUUCAUGAAUAAAAUUGUUGAAAUUUGUUUUUUCAUUAAUUAGCUAGCUCUCGCCCCCUUCAAACGACAACCCUCUCAAGUCUAAGCUUGUUCAAGCUAAGGAAUGAUAUCUAUAUAGAGAUUUUACUGAAACGUGUAUGUUGUACCUGUCAUGAUGAAUAUUGAUAAACAACUAUAAUGAUUUUUCUCCAAUGUGUAUUUAUAAUUUAUUCAUAUAAUACGUGUGGAUUAAGGAAUUAGUAUAGGGUUGAAAUGUUCAUAAAAUUUUUUAAUACGCCGCAUUUUGUUCAUUCCUAUAAUAGUUUAUGUGAGGUAGAUCGAGAUUUAUAAGAAUCAUUCUUAGACACGUUCAAGAACUCGAAUGUUUUUAUACCAAUUUUAUAUGUAUUGCAGUGUAUUUGCCCUUUACUUGCUAAUCUUAGUGAUUUUUCAUUGCUUUUUUAGUUACCUAACAAAUGUAUCAAAUAUUUUUUCAUGUUACCUAAUUUUUUAUUAAAGAUGAAAAUAAGCAAAAAAGUAAGUUGAGAAAUUAUAAUUUCAGUAAUAGUAAAAAACAAGAGUGAGUAACAUUUCUCAGAAUGAACUGGUCCUCUGUAUUUUCUUCCAUUUUCUGAAAAAUCACUUCUUGCUCAGAAAAAAAUUAUUAUUCAAAAUAAACUAGGUGUGUGUGCAUUUCACAUAUAAUUUCUACAACUACUAUCAUGAUCAUAAGCAAUGUUUUACAUAAAAAGAUGAAAGUUUGGAGUUGAUGAUUAACAAAAGACCAUUGACUAAUUAAUAAACGAUUUCAUUACGUUAUGCUUAGAUUCAUUAUUUCUAAUUCUUUUUGUAAUAUUUUUUUCUUCUCUAGUAAAACCUAUACAUCCUGA
This 7777-nucleotide unclassified non-coding RNA is filed under the name Leptinotarsa decemlineata (Colorado potato beetle). RNAcentral describes it as "hEAT repeat-containing protein 5B, transcript variant X3". The record is from RNAcentral. Lineage: Eukaryota; Metazoa; Arthropoda; Insecta; Coleoptera; Chrysomelidae.